CCAGACAAGCAGUCAUCAUCAAGAAUCAAGUCGACAAUCUACUGGCAAAUCCUUUUCAAUCCUUGUUAUAUGAAGAGAAAUUAUAGAUAAAAAUGUAUCGGUGCUCAUCGGCCAUUGGACAUAAACAUUACACAACAAGUUGGGAAUCACAAAUUCAACAAUGUGUGGUUUGGAAAGAAUCAGUGGCUAACUGCAACCGUUGAAAAGCAAUUAUCUAGCCUGCUAUUCAGUAAAGGUGGUCCAAGUCUGGGUUUAAGGAUCUCUUUUCCAAGCUUUAAAGGAUAAACAUUCACAUGCAACACCAUGGGCAAGAAAAGGUUGAAUACAUUGGCCAUGCUGUCAAUCCAGCAUGACUUCUGCAGCGUUCAAAACAACUGGAAACUCGGAACUGGGAAAUCUCAGACUUCCGUGAGUUCAAGAGAACUGGGAACUCCACCGACUUGCAAGGUAGCCUUGUGGUUAGAGCGUUGGGCCAGUAACCGAAAGGUUGCAGGAUCAAAUCCCUGAGCUGACAAGGUAAUUAGGCCCCUCAGCAAGUCAGUUAACUCACUGGGUGCUGUGGAUGUUGAUUAUGGCAGCCCCUUGCACCUCUCUGAUCCAGAGAGUUUGGGUUAAAUGUGGAAGAUGCAUGUAGUUGUACAACUCACUAGGUAUCCCCCUUUCCCUAUUCAAGUGAGCACAACAAGCAGUAAAUGAGGCUGAAUGAACUAUUCGCUGCCAGACAAGGCUCCGCUGAUAGCCAGGUGUAGCGGUGGUAAGUAUUCACUCUAUAGUGCUGAAAAUAAAGCUCUGCUGUUGGGAAAGCUUUAUGUAGGCCCUAACAGUUUGUGGGCACCGUUUGUUACCGUUUUAGUGCAAUUAAUGUUAUGUUUAGGGUUGGGUUGUGUAGUGGCUUUGCUGGCAUGCAUCUAAACAUUUUUUUUUGCCCCACCAAGAUUUAAGCUACAUGCUAAAAUCACCACUGGCUGGGUACACAGUGCAUCUUAAUUAUGUUCAAAGACCUGUGACAGGACACCAUCCUGGGAUCAUCAAACGACAACACAGAGUCAAGCUCCAUCUCACAGGGCCUGUGUCAAAUAAUGAAGAAUCCGUAAGGGGCACACACCGCCGCUCGCCGAUUCUGUCUGCUUCACUUUCUGCUCCGCUUUCUGCAAAUGAAUAAUUUGGUGGUUAUCAAAACAUCUGCACAGGUGGCACAGCGAGGAGUGCUGGAAAUCAAUUGGCUCCGCCUUUUCAGAUAUGAGAGAGAGAGAGAGUGUGAGAGAGAGAGAGAGAGAGAGAGAUAAAAAGGGUAGAUAGAAAGACUACUGUGCAUGAUCUGAGGCUGAUUUCUUCCCUCAAAUUUCACAUAAAACCUGUGAUGUUUCUUCUUCUUUCAGGUCCAUCCCUAUCGAGCUGUGGGAUAAAAGCCAUCAUGCCUGUUUGACCCACCAGGGGCAGUUAUAAACUGGGAACACAAGGCGACAAAUUGCAAUAAUGCUGUGUUCGUAACCAAGUGGGAAGUGGGAAUUUAUACAUACGACUGGGAAAAAUCCACUUGAACAGCCCUCCAACUGUGGGAAACUUGUCUAUCAUCCAGAGCUCCCACAUGCUGACUUCUGAUGUACAAUACAAUGCCCCAUUUUGACAGUCAGACGCACUCUGAAGGCCUCUUGUCAUUGCCAUAAAAUGACUCUGAUUUUUGUGCUAACGUUUUGCAUCUGACAGACAAUACCUGCUGCAGAGAUUUUUACAACCAUUCUUCUGGCUUUUUUUUUUUCAUUCUGAGCUGCUCCGGUGAAGCAAAGGAAGGGCUUUGAGAUUUGUCAGUUAAGAUGAACAUUGCCUGGAGGAGUUUCAGACUAGUUGUAUAAAAUGUGUGAUGGC
RNAcentral lists this long non-coding RNA (1866 nucleotides) under Salmo salar (Atlantic salmon). RNAcentral describes it as "lncRNA (ENSSSAG00000085317.1)". The record is from RNAcentral. Lineage: Eukaryota; Metazoa; Chordata; Actinopteri; Salmoniformes; Salmonidae.